RNAcentral lists this ribosomal RNA (408 nucleotides) under uncultured bacterium. Its description in RNAcentral is "partial 16S ribosomal RNA". It matches the Rfam family "Bacterial small subunit ribosomal RNA", at positions 28 to 526 of the family's 1533-position model. The record is from RNAcentral.
GACGAACGCUGGCGGCGUGCUUAACACAUGCAAGUCGAACGAAGUGGCGAACGGGUGAGUAACGCGUAAUCAACCUGCCCUUCAGAGGGGGACAACAGUUGGAAACGACUGCUAAUACCGCAUACUGAAGGAGGGGAUUGCGUCGGAUUAGCUAGUUGGAGGGGUAACGGCCCACCAAGGGGAUGAUCAGUAGCCGGUCGGAGAGGAUAAUCAGUCACAUUGGAACGGAGACACGGUCCAAGCUCCUACGGGAGGCAGCAGUAGGGUAUAUUGCGCAAUGGGCGAAACUCUGACGCAGCAACGCCGCGUGGAGGAUGACACGUUUCGGAGCUUAAACUCCUUUUGUUAGGGAAGCGGUACCUAACGAAUAAGCACCGGCUAACUCCGUGCCAGCAGCCGCGGUAAUUC